This 209-nucleotide ribosomal RNA is filed under the name Pectobacterium carotovorum. Its description in RNAcentral is "partial 16S ribosomal RNA". The record is from RNAcentral. Lineage: Bacteria; Pseudomonadati; Pseudomonadota; Gammaproteobacteria; Enterobacterales; Pectobacteriaceae.
AGGGGUAGAGAGGGCCUAAAAUGCAUGUCGAGCGAUGUACGCGUAUAGCUUGCUCUCUGGUGACGAGCGGCGGAGGGAGAAGAGAGUCUGGGAAACUGCCUGAUGGAGGGGGAUAACUACUGUAAAAAAGUAGCUAAUACCGCAUGACCUCGCAAGAGCAAAGUGGGGGACCUUCGGGCCUCCGCCUCGGAUGUGCCCUCUUAAUUCUA